This 488-nucleotide ribosomal RNA is filed under the name uncultured bacterium. RNAcentral describes it as "bacterial SSU rRNA". It matches the Rfam family "Bacterial small subunit ribosomal RNA", at positions 30 to 517 of the family's 1533-position model. The record is from RNAcentral.
AUUGAACGCUGGCGGCAUGCUUUACACAUGCAAGUCGAACGGUAACAGGUCUUCGGAUGCUGACGAGUGGCGAACGGGUGAGUAAUGUAUCGGAACGUGCCCAGUAGUGGGGGAUAACUACUCGAAAGAGUGGCUAAUACCGCAUGAGAACUGAGGUUGAAAGUGGGGGACCGCAAGGCCUCACGCUACUGGAGCGGCCGAUAUCAGAUUAGGUAGUUGGUGGGGUAAAGGCCUACCAAGCCUGCGAUCUGUAGCUGGUCUGAGAGGACGACCAGCCACACUGGGACUGAGACACGGCCCAGACUCCUACGGGAGGCAGCAGUGGGGAAUUUUGGACAAUGGGCGCAAGCCUGAUCCAGCAAUGCCGCGUGCAGGACGAAGGCCUUCGGUUGUAAACUGCUUUGUACAGAACGAAAAGCCUCUUCUAAUACAGGGGUGCAUGACGGUACUGUAAGAAUAAGCACCGGCUAACUACGUGCCAGCAGCCG